RNAcentral lists this ribosomal RNA (277 nucleotides) under uncultured bacterium. RNAcentral's name for it is "partial 16S ribosomal RNA". It matches the Rfam family "Bacterial small subunit ribosomal RNA", at positions 334 to 628 of the family's 1533-position model. The record is from RNAcentral.
AAGACCUACGGGAGGCAGCAGUGGGGAAUAUUGCACAAUGGGGGAAACCCUGAUGCAGCGACGCCGCGUGAGUGAAGAAGUAUUUCGGUACGUAAAGCUCUAUCAGCAGGGAAGAAAAUGACGGUACCUGACUAAGAAGCCCCGGCUAACUACGUGCCAGCAGCCGCGGUAAUACGUAGGGGGCAAGCGUUAUCCGGAUUUACUGGGUGUAACGGGAGCGUAGACGGCAGCGCAAGUCUGGAGUGAAUUCCCAUGUCUUAACCCUGGAACUGCUUUG